This 42-nucleotide unclassified non-coding RNA is filed under the name Leishmania tarentolae. Its description in RNAcentral is "guide RNA". Lineage: Eukaryota; Euglenozoa; Kinetoplastea; Trypanosomatida; Trypanosomatidae. The record is from RNAcentral.
AAACUUACUCGGAAGCAUAAUAGUGGAUAGGAUAAAAUAUAU